GAAACCAACAGGGAUUGCCUCAGUAACGGCGAGUGAAGCGGCAAAAGCUCAAAUUUGAAAUCUAGCACUUUCAGUGUUCGAGUUGUAAUUUGAAGAAGGUAACUUUGGUUUUGGCUCUUGUCUAUGUUCCUUGGAACAGGACGUCACAGAGGGUGAGAAUCCCGUGCGAUGAGAUGCCCAAUUCCAUGUAAAGUGCUUUCGAAGAGUCGAGUUGUUUGGGAAUGCAGCUCUAAGUGGGUGGUAAAUUCCAUCUAAAGCUAAAUAUUGGCGAGAGACCGAUAGCGAACAAGUACAGUGAUGGAAAGAUGAAAAGAACUUUGAAAAGAGAGUGAAAAAGUACGUGAAAUUGUUGAAAGGGAAGGGCUUGAGAUCAGACUUGGUAUUUUGCGUUCCCUUCCUUUUUGGUUGGGUUCCUCGCAGUUUACUGGGCCAGCAUCGGUUUGGAUGGUAGGAUAAUGACAUUGGAAUGUAGCUUUACUUCGGUGAAGUGUUAUAGACUUUGUUGAUACUGCCUAUCUAGACCGAGGACUGCGUCUUGACUAGG
This 544-nucleotide ribosomal RNA is filed under the name Dujonia zeylanoides. RNAcentral's name for it is "eukaryotic LSU rRNA". It matches the Rfam family "Eukaryotic large subunit ribosomal RNA", at positions 61 to 610 of the family's 3401-position model. The record is from RNAcentral. Lineage: Eukaryota; Fungi; Ascomycota; Pichiomycetes; Serinales; Debaryomycetaceae.